This 1643-nucleotide long non-coding RNA is filed under the name Triticum aestivum (bread wheat). RNAcentral's name for it is "long non-coding RNA (TAES_LNC001099)". Lineage: Eukaryota; Viridiplantae; Streptophyta; Magnoliopsida; Poales; Poaceae. The record is from RNAcentral.
GGCGUUUCCCAACGUCACACUGUCUUCUCAUGUGCCAAGAAGCAAAACAGGUAAUCUUUCGUCUGUCCUCUGCAACAUGUUGUAGUUUCAAUUAUUUUUAGCUUUGUUUUCAAGUUGGCCAUGCAUGCACUCUGCGAAAUGGAUUAGAAGUCAGCAUGUGCAUGCAUGAAAAUGUUUGGUCUUGCAUGCAUGCAGUAGUGGGGCCCAUGUGUGGCUGUGAUGUUUUUGCAUGGGAGUGGGCCAUGCGAUGCAUGCAGAAUGCAUGAGUUUUAGCACGCUGUUGUGUUAUUGCUAUAAAUAAUUGACUUAUCCGUCUAACACAAGCGACUGGCGUUAAAAUGUAACUUUCAAAUAGAUAUCAUGCAAGACCUAGCUGCUACUUCACGUGAAGCUGCUCGAUCUCUGAUGGCUGUUGUAGUCUGUAACGAGGAAACACGUAGCCCCCCAGGUGCGCAUGGCCAUGAUAGAAAAGCAAAAACUUAUUGCAUUUUUUCAAUCGUUGGCAUGUUUCAAGACAAACUGAAAUAUGGAUUGUUCCUAUUGAUGCCAGCUGGGGAAGCAGGUAUUUCACUAGCCUCUGGAAGCCAGAACCAUAACGUGCAUGUGCCUCCGAUGGAGCGUGGAAAAGGUAUACAGUUGAUUAGAAACCGUUCUCAAUUAGCCGCGCCGUCCGUUCGAUCUUCAUACAUGUACUAAUUAUGCCUUCCCUUUUUGCAGUAAUUGUUGUUUCGGAACCAAUGGGUGUUGAUGAAGUUCAAGAUAAGCCAAUGAUCGAAGACCGUAAAGGAAAAGGACCAGCAGUAAACUGUGAGUUGACACGAUUGCUAGAUGUGUUUAUCGGCGUUUUUAGCAAUGGUCUUGCUUCUCACUAGUCAGAACUAUGGGAUUGUGUGCAGUGGGUGGGCGCAUAUGUACUAGGCAGAUGACAAUGCAGGAGGCACUGGGGGUUGGAUCGAUGAGAGACCAAGUUGUGCCAGUCGUACACCAAGCAUGCGACCAAGUUAUGUACGAAGGUGCGUACGGCGUGGGUAUGGUACUCAAUGCAUUGUCUUUUGGUCUAAAAACAAAAACUAAUCACCUCGUUCGUCAUCCAUUUUGCAGCUAGUGUGCCCGACGGUGGAGGGCUGGGCGUUGCUAAUGGAGCUGGCAUUGCCACGCUUACUCCCAUAGGAAACUGAUGACCCACAAGUAUAGGAGAUCUAUCGUAGUCCUUUCGAUAAGUAAGAGUGUCGAACCCAACGAGGAGCAGAAGGAAAUGAUAAGCGGUUUCCAGCAAGGUAUUCUCUGCAAGUACUGAAAUAAGUGGUAACAGAUAGUUUUGUGAUAAGAUAAUUUGUAACAAGCAACAAGUAACAAAAGUAAAUAAGGUGCAGCAAGGUGGCACAAUCCUUUUUGUAGCAAAGGACAAGCCUGGACAAACUCUUAUAUGAUGUAAAGCACUCCCGAGGACACAUGGGAAUAUCGUCAAGCUAGUUUUCAUCACGCUCAUAUGAUUCGCGUUUAGUACUUUGAUAAUUUGGUAUGUGGGUGGACCGGUGCUUGGGUGCUACCCUUACUUGGACAAGCAUCCCACUUAUGAUUAACCUCUAUUGCAAGCAUCCGCAAAUACAACAAAAGUAUUAAGGUAAACCUAACCAUAGCAU